CGGGAUGUAGCGCAGUCCGGUAGCGUACUUGCAUGGGGUGCAAGGGGUCGUGGGUUCAAAUCCCGCCAUCCCGA
RNAcentral lists this transfer RNA (74 nucleotides) under Bacteroidia bacterium. RNAcentral's name for it is "tRNA-Pro". It matches the Rfam family "tRNA". Rfam says of the family: Transfer RNA (tRNA) molecules are approximately 80 nucleotides in length. Their secondary structure includes four short double-helical elements and three loops (D, anti-codon, and T loops). Further hydrogen bonds mediate the characteristic L-shaped molecular structure. tRNAs have two regions of fundamental functional importance: the anti-codon, which is responsible for specific mRNA codon recognition, and the 3' end, to which the tRNAs corresponding amino acid is attached (by aminoacyl-tRNA synthetases). tRNAs cope with the degeneracy of the genetic code in two manners: having more than one tRNA (with a specific anti-codon) for a particular amino acid; and 'wobble' base-pairing, i.e. permitting non-standard base-pairing at the 3rd anti-codon position. RNAcentral also lists the same sequence under 1 other name. Lineage: Bacteria; Pseudomonadati; Bacteroidota; Bacteroidia. The record is from RNAcentral.